GUCCCUUCGGGGACACCUGAUAAAACUGGAAUGUUAUAGGGAAGAUUAGCAUGACCCCUGCACAAGGAUGACACCUGAUUGGUCACUUCGUUCCUUGAUAUUU
Molecule: small nuclear RNA, 103 nt
Organism: Corylus avellana
Lineage: Eukaryota; Viridiplantae; Streptophyta; Magnoliopsida; Fagales; Betulaceae
Source: RefSeq, a predicted model, not a curated record